Long non-coding RNA from Phyllostomus discolor (pale spear-nosed bat), 2867 nucleotides. RefSeq lists it as uncharacterized. The record is from RefSeq and is a predicted model, not a curated record. Lineage: Eukaryota; Metazoa; Chordata; Mammalia; Chiroptera; Phyllostomidae. The transcript is spliced from 5 exons.
CAGACUUGGGAAACUGAGGCUUAGGGAGGUUCCGUCACCAGCUUGUGAUAAUAUAUAUGCUUCCAGAGAGAGACAGGCCCUGUUCUGGGAAAGGAGGAGCCCAGGAGCCAAAGGAGGAACCUAGCCUUGGGCCAGUACCUGAUUCCAGACAGAAGCAGUACUCCAGGGGGCCGAGGGCAGCGGAGGUGUUGCAGAAGAUGGAGAAGCUUGUUAGAACGGUGCCCUCCUCCGGGGCGAUGGUGCAGGUUGCAGGAAUGGUGCUGCAGAGGGAACCUUCUGGGAAAAGGACCCAUGCUUCGCCCAGACUCUGAGCAAACCUGCAGGACAUGUCAGCUUGUUUUGCACCAGUGACUUGCACGGAUGAGCAGGCAGGCAUAUAACAGGAGACGUGCCUGCCUGGGAGAAUGUCCAGGGGAGCUUCUUGUCACUGGUGUCAUUCUCACUCCACAUUGAAGUGGUUGUCCUCAGCUGAAUGUCCCUGUGGGGUACCUGGGGGCCCUGGGGAGCUGUCCCUUCAUCUGGGAGGCUGCAGUGUCAUCUCCAGCUUCAUGAAACCAGCUCGGAGAAGCAGCUGGUUUGUAAGACACCUGUCCACAGUUGGCACCGCACCCCCUACCUCAGAGCUGCCUGUGCCAAGGUGUAGAAUGGAGACAGACCCUGUCCAAUCUGCCCAGCUCCCCUCAGGACAGACCACUGACACUUGUUCCAGAUGGUUCUUGGAGACCAGAAGGAGCUGUGAACACAGUGGGAAUGGAUGUCAGACUUUGGUGGUGUUCAUCAAGCUGCAAAGGAUAAGGUAUACUGAAGGGCCCCAGGGGACCUGCCUGUCUUUGGAAAUGGUUCAGGGGGACAUAGCAAACAUUCAGGUCACAGGGAAAUGGUCAAAAGCAAAACCACUGAGUUCACCACUGGGUUAGAGACAUCUCUUCAGUAGUAAAGAAAGAGGCAUGCAGCUGCCAACGCAGAUAACACACAAGAUUUAGAGUCAGACAGGCAGCUGUGUGCUCUGAAUGUUUAACUACCGGUCGAGGAGGUUGGGGUGGGGACCCCUGAUUUGUAUUUGUAGCAUUUGCUAAUUUCUAUGGUGUUCAGGACUGGACAAAAGUAGGUUUACAAUUGUGAGCAUGCAAACAGAGUUAAUAAAGCCAUUGUAAUAAUCACAACCCAGGUCUUUUUCCAUACGAACAACUGUAAACCUACUUUUGCCCACAUCUGUAUUCCCACAAAAGCUACCAAGCUGAUGUCACUGAAUGCAGACUGAGAAGAGAUGGGCAUAACCAGCUCUGUCUGGCAAGCUGGUAGCGCCUGGCCUUGGCACCCCAUGGCGUGUCUCCAGAUCCCUUAUUGGCCUCUUACUGGCUGUGCAAACCUGGGCAGGUUAGUGAUUCUUUCUGAGUCUUAGCUUCCUCCUCCAUAAAAAACACUGAAAGCAAUCCCUAUUUCUCAAGGCUCCGGAAGGACUGAAUGCUGUGCUAUAUAUACUAUUGCUUUGUAAUCUCUAUAUCUGUAAAGAGUAUUAGUGUGUUAAGUUUAAAAAAUGGAAAGGGUACAUUUAAUUGAUAUGCUGGGAAGAUACUGAAAUGUGAAUAUGAUUAAUGUCUAAUGAAAGCAUAGAUUAAGACAGGAACUUAGGGUUAUUCCAUGUGAUUCUCUAGGCUCCAGUGACUUGGAUCUUUUAAGAGCUGGGUACUACUGAUCUUUGGAAAAUUCUUUCCCAGGGAAAUCUCAUUCAGACAACUAUAGCUUCAAAGGUUUGUAAAAUUAUACAAACCAAAUUAAGAUAUGAAACACGGAGGACUUUCUUAACCUUAAGUAAGAAGAGGGUCCAAUAAUCCUGAAUGAGGAAAUCAAGAAAAACUGUUGUUAUCUCUGAUCUUGCCAUGAAUUAGCUGAGUGACUUUUGCAAAGUCAAUUCACUUCUCUAGGCCUCAAGUUCCAUAUGUAGAAAAAGAUAUCUAAUGACUUUUCCCCUAGCCAUACCCCCUUCUUUUGGUAACAGCACCUACAGGUGAUAUUUUCUCUGGGGAACCAUCCCCCCCCCACUUUCAGUCCUUGAUUUGGGUGAAGCCAUCCCUACAUCAUGUCCCAGGGUGGACGUGUGGUCCUUGUCUGCCCAAACUGAGUGCCACUGCCCCCUGGUCUCAUCAGUGUGUCCACAGGGGAACACGAACCAAGCUUGGACCAGUGAGAGACAGCCUCAGGACUUCUGCUGGGAAUGUCUAAGAGGUGCUUGCUCUUCUCUGGGCUGAAGGACUGAAGCCUGGGGCCAUCUUGCUACUGCUUGGGAAGAGGGAAUCAGGAUGAGGUGACAUAGAACCAAGAGAUAGCGACAGAUUUCUGAAUGGCUGGAUCCACCUGCAUCUAAACCCUGGACUUUUCACUUCCUGAGUUGACAAAAAUUUCCUUUUGACUUGAGCCCAUUUGAACUGCUUGAGUCCCUUGCUACUCAAAGAGUCCUGGCACACACAUUCAAGGUAACCUUCAAGCUCUGUUGGCUGUCCACUCCACAAACAUUACCCAUCCCUGCUUCUUGGCUGCCAGAAUCUACCUUCUCCCACAGAGCUGAAAAAGCUGAAUGUCUGCUUCCCAGCAUCCCUUACAGCUGCGGCACAUGACCCUACCCUGGUCAAUGGUAUCUAAGGAGAAGAUUGCUGAGGACUAGCAGGAAAAAUUUCUCACUAAUGAAAACAGGCUCACAAGAGGAAAUGGUUCUGUGCUGCUGGAUAAAGCUAGGUUGACAUGUGAUGUCUGGAACUGUAGCAGCCCUCCUGAUUGCAGGAGAAGCAAGCCUAAGGAUGAAGCAAAAUCUCUGAGGAUGGUAGAACAGAAUAGUAAACUGAUCCUGGGUCCUUGCUGCUGACACUGAA